AAGUCGUAACAAGGUUUCCGUAGGUGAACCUGCGGAAGGAUCAUUAAUGAAAUGAUAAUUUUUUGGGGUUUUCCCUAAAAAAUAAUUCACCAUUUGUGCAUUGUUAUUAGAUAUACUUUGGUUAGAGCUUUGAUUUCAUUUAUUGGAAUCAACUUCUUGCUGACUCUAUCCUUUUUAAAGGACAGUUGGCUAUGAAGCGGCCUACCAAGGUUUUUUUAUCAAACUCUUGUAUUUUGUCUGACCUAAACUAUUAUAAUUAAAUCAUAACUUUCAACAACGGAUCUCUUGGCUCUC
Molecule: unclassified non-coding RNA, 294 nt
Filed under: fungal sp.
Lineage: Eukaryota; Fungi
Description: partial internal transcribed spacer region
Rfam family: Eukaryotic small subunit ribosomal RNA (bases 1-46)
Source: RNAcentral